AGAAAAUAAGCCACAUAAACUCAUAAAAUUUAGAGAAAACUUCAAAUACCACCCCUGUGGUUUCACACUUUCUCAUUUUAAUACCAUGUGGUUUAAAGUGUAUCAAUUUAGUGCUAUAUGGUUUCAUUCAUAUCUUUUUAUUAUGAAUUCCACUAAUUUUUUUCAUUAAAUCAGUGACAAAGUUAAAAUUAAAGGGUACUAAAGUGAAUAUUCGAUAAAUCUAGGUUAGAUAUCUAAAGUUUUUUUUGUACAUAAUUUAACGAAAUAUUAACGAAAAAGCUAACGAAAAGAUAAAAAUGAACCACAGGACACUAACUUAAUACACUUUAAACCACAGGGCACUAAAAUGAGAAAGUGUGAAACCACAGAAAUGGUAUUUAAAAUUUACCCUAAAUUUUAGUAUACCACUAUCCAAAUUUUAAAGCAUUGCACU
Molecule: long non-coding RNA, 433 nt
Filed under: Ananas comosus (pineapple)
Lineage: Eukaryota; Viridiplantae; Streptophyta; Magnoliopsida; Poales; Bromeliaceae
Description: long non-coding RNA (ACOM_LNC031017)
Source: RNAcentral